This 625-nucleotide ribosomal RNA is filed under the name Tetradonia sp. 2 HE-2012. RNAcentral describes it as "partial 16S ribosomal RNA". The stretch from base 385 to 543 matches the Rfam family "Bacterial large subunit ribosomal RNA", at positions 2473 to 2632 of the family's 2925-position model. Lineage: Eukaryota; Metazoa; Arthropoda; Insecta; Coleoptera; Staphylinidae. The record is from RNAcentral.
GUCUUUUUGAAGUUAAUUUAAAGUCUGACCUGCCCACUGAGAAUUUAAAUGGCCGCAGUAUUUUGACUGUGCAAAGGUAGCAUAAUCAUUAGUUUUUUAAUUAAAAGCUGGAAUGAAAGGUCGAACGAGAAAAAAUCUGUCUCUUURUUAAUUAUUUAGAAUUUUAUUUUUAAGUUAAAAAGCUUAAAUUUUAUUAAAAGACGAGAAGACCCUAUAGAGUUUUAUAAAAUAUUUAAUUUUAAUUUAAAUUGAAUUUUUAAAAUUAUAAUUUUUGAUUUAUUUAAUUGGGGUGAUUGAAAAAUUUACUUAACUUUUUUUUUAUUUAAACAUUUAUUUAUGAUAAAUUGAUCCAUAUAAAUGAUUAUAAGAUUAAAUUACCUUAGGGAUAACAGCGUAAUUUUUUUUAAGAGUUCUAAUCGAUAAAGAAGUUUGCGACCUCGAUGUUGGAUUAAAAGAUAGUUUUGGUGUAGUAGCUAAAAUUUUAGGUCUGUUCGACCUUUAUAAUUUUACAUGAUCUGAGUUUAAACCGGUGUAAGCCAGGUUGGUUUCUAUCUUUAAUUUAUAUUAAUAUUUCAGUACGAAAGGACCUAAUAUUAAUAAUAAUUAUUUUAUUUUGAUUAAUAUU